GAGCCCUCUCCGCCCCGUCCUCCUCCGCCUUCUUCGCGCGCGCGGCCACGACAGGGAGGAUUUGGGCGGAGCAGGGCGCCGCUCCCCUUCCGCAGCCUUGGGCGAGCCCAAGGGCCUUUUCCUCCUCUGCUCGCGGCCAGAUGAACUAGGCGUGUUGGGCGGCGGCCGAGGCUUGCUCACAGACCAGUCCCUACAACGUGCACGCCUCCAAGCAAGUGGCCAAGCACUGGACUUUGGAACUGAUCUGGGCUUCGGAUCCUGCCAUUUCGGCUCAUACUUCAUAAUAUUCCAGCAGUGCAUGUAUGGAAAGUUGUGCUUGUAGACAGCAGCAAAAUUAGCCGCUGCAAUAGUGGUCUGCAUUCAGAAAAUAAUUGUAUGAAUUCAAGUACUUGGCUGCUAUUAAAAUAGUGAGUUGUACAACACACACAUACUUGGCUGCUAUUCAAUUAGUGAGCUA
This is a long non-coding RNA of Panicum virgatum (switchgrass), 457 nucleotides long. RefSeq lists it as uncharacterized. Lineage: Eukaryota; Viridiplantae; Streptophyta; Magnoliopsida; Poales; Poaceae. The record is from RefSeq and is a predicted model, not a curated record. The transcript has 2 exons.